This 555-nucleotide ribosomal RNA is filed under the name Diaporthe sp. RNAcentral's name for it is "eukaryotic LSU rRNA". Lineage: Eukaryota; Fungi; Ascomycota; Sordariomycetes; Diaporthales; Diaporthaceae. The record is from RNAcentral.
CAUUGACUGGAACGCGCCCCAGGCGCACCCAGAAACCCUYUURAACUUAUACCUUACUGUUGCCUCGGCGCAUGUCCGGCCCCCAGGGGCCCCUCGGAGACGAGGAGCAGGCACGCCGGCGGCCAACCUAACUCUUGUUUUUACACUGAAACUCUGAGAAAAAAAACAAAAUGAAUCAAAACUUUCAACAACGGAUCUCUUGGUUCUGGCAUCGAUGAAGAACGCAGCGAAAUGCGAUAAGUAAUGUGAAUUGCAGAAUUCAGUGAAUCAUCGAAUCUUUGAACGCACAUUGCGCCCUCCGGUAUUCCGGAGGGCAUGCCUGUUCGAGCGUCAUUUCAACCCUCAAGCACUGCUUGGUGUUGGGGCACUGCUCCUCUCGCGGGGAGCAGGCCCUGAAAUUCAGUGGCGAGCUCGCCAGGACCCCGAGCGCAGUAGUUAAACCCUCGCUCUGGAAGGCCCUGGCGGUGCCCUGCCGUUAAACCCCCAACUCUUGAAAAUUUGACCUCGGAUCAGGUAGGAUACCCGCUGAACUUAAGCAUAUCAAUAAGCGGAGGA